GAGCGUCUCGAUCGGGGUGACGACGCUGCGACCGUCGUCCAGGACGUACUCGUCGACGGCCUCGGCGUUCGGCACCGUCGACGCCCU
This 87-nucleotide transfer RNA is filed under the name freshwater metagenome. Its description in RNAcentral is "tRNA-Arg". The record is from RNAcentral.